UUAAGCGACUAAGCGUACACGGUGGAUGCCCUGGCAGUCAGAGGCGAUGAAGGACGUGCUAAUCUGCGAAAAGCGUCGGUAAGGUGAUAUGAACCGUUAUAACCGGCGAUGUCCGAAUGGGGAAACCCAGUGCAAUUCGUUGCACUAUCGUUAACUGAAUACAUAGGUUAACGAGGCGAACCGGGGGAACUGAAACAUCUAAGUACCCCGAGGAAAAGAAAUCAACCGAGAUUCCCCCAGUAGCGGCGAGCGAACGGGGAGCAGCCCAGAGUCUGAAUCAGCUUGUGUGUUAGUGGAACGGUCUGGAAAGUCCGACGGUACAGGGUGAUAGUCCCGUACACCAAAAUGCACAGGUUGUGAACUCGAAGAGUAGGGCGGGACACGUGGUAUCCUGUCUGAAUAUGGGGGGACCAUCCUCCAAGGCUAAAUACUCCUGACUGACCGAUAGUGAACCAGUACCGUGAGGGAAAGGCGAAAAGAACCCCGGCGAGGGGAGUGAAAAAGAACCUGAAACCGUGUACGUACAAGCAGUGGGAGCACCUUCGGGUGUGACUGCGUACCUUUUGUAUAAUGGGUCAGCGACUUAUAUUCUGUAGCAAGGUUAACCGUAUAGGGGAGCCGCAGGGAAACCGAGUCUUAACUGGGCGUUAAGUUGCAGGGUAUAGACCCGAAACCCGGUGAUCUAGCCAUGGGCAGGUUGAAGGUUGGGUAACACUAACUGGAGGACCGAACCGACUAAUGUUGAAAAAUUAGCGGAUGACUUGUGGCUGGGGGUGAAAGGCCAAUCAAACCGGGAGAUAGCUGGUUCUCCCCGAAAGCUAUUUAGGUAGCGCCUCGUGAACUCAUCUUCGGGGGUAGAGCACUGUUUCGGCUAGGGGGUCAUCCCGACUUACCAACCCGAUGCAAACUACGAAUACCGAAGAAUGUUAUCACGGGAGACACACGGCGGGUGCUAACGUCCGUCGUGAAGAGGGAAACAACCCAGACCGCCAGCUAAGGUCCCAAAGUCAUGGUUAAGUGGGAAACGAUGUGGGAAGGCACAGACAGCCAGGAUGUUGGCUUAGAAGCAGCCAUCAUUUAAAGAAAGCGUAAUAGCUCACUGGUCGAGUCGGCCUGCGCGGAAGAUGUAACGGGGCUAAACCAUGCACCGAAGCUGCGGCAGCGACACUAUGUGUUGUUGGGUAGGGGAGCGUUCUGUAAGCCUGCGAAGGUGGCCUGUGAGGGUUGCUGGAGGUAUCAGAAGUGCGAAUGCUGACAUAAGUAACGAUAAAGCGGGUGAAAAGCCCGCUCGCCGGAAGACCAAGGGUUCCUGUCCAACGUUAAUCGGGGCAGGGUGAGUCGACCCCUAAGGCGAGGCCGAAAGGCGUAGUCGAUGGGAAACAGGUUAAUAUUCCUGUACUUGGUGUUACUGCGAAGGGGGGACGGAGAAGGCUAUGUUAGCCGGGCGACGGUUGUCCCGGUUUAAGCAUGUAGGCGGAGGUUCCAGGUAAAUCCGGUACCUUUUAACGCUGAGGUGUGAUGACGAGGCACUACGGUGCUGAAGUAACAAAUGCCCUGCUUCCAGGAAAAGCCUCUAAGCAUCAGGUAACAUUAAAUCGUACCCCAAACCGACACAGGUGGUCAGGUAGAGAAUACCAAGGCGCUUGAGAGAACUCGGGUGAAGGAACUAGGCAAAAUGGUGCCGUAACUUCGGGAGAAGGCACGCUGGUGUGUAGGUGAAGUCCCUGCGGAUGGAGCUGAGACCAGUCGAAGAUACCAGCUGGCUGCAACUGUUUAUUAAAAACACAGCACUGUGCAAACACGAAAGUGGACGUAUACGGUGUGACGCCUGCCCGGUGCCGGAAGGUUAAUUGAUGGGGUUAUCCGUAAGGAGAAGCUCUUGAUCGAAGCCCCGGUAAACGGCGGCCGUAACUAUAACGGUCCUAAGGUAGCGAAAUUCCUUGUCGGGUAAGUUCCGACCUGCACGAAUGGCGUAAUGAUGGCCAGGCUGUCUCCACCCGAGACUCAGUGAAAUUGAACUCGCUGUGAAGAUGCAGUGUACCCGCGGCAAGACGGAAAGACCCCGUGAACCUUUACUAUAGCUUGACACUGAACAUUGAGCCUUGAUGUGUAGGAUAGGUGGGAGGCUUUGAAGCGUGGACGCCAGUCUGCGUGGAGCCAACCUUGAAAUACCACCCUUUAAUGUUUGAUGUUCUAACGUUGGCCCCUUAUCGGGGUUGCGGACAGUGUCUGGUGGGUAGUUUGACUGGGGCGGUCUCCUCCCAAAGAGUAACGGAGGAGCACGAAGGUUAGCUAAUCCUGGUCGGACAUCAGGAGGUUAGUGCAAUGGCAUAAGCUAGCUUGACUGCGAGCGUGACGGCGCGAGCAGGUGCGAAAGCAGGUCAUAGUGAUCCGGUGGUUCUGAAUGGAAGGGCCAUCGCUCAACGGAUAAAAGGUACUCCGGGGAUAACAGGCUGAUACCGCCCAAGAGUUCAUAUCGACGGCGGUGUUUGGCACCUCGAUGUCGGCUCAUCACAUCCUGGGGCUGAAGUAGGUCCCAAGGGUAUGGCUGUUCGCCAUUUAAAGUGGUACGCGAGCUGGGUUUAGAACGUCGUGAGACAGUUCGGUCCCUAUCUGCCGUGGGCGCUGGAGAAUUGAGGGGGGCUGCUCCUAGUACGAGAGGACCGGAGUGGACGCAUCACUGGUGUUCGGGUUGUCAUGCCAAUGGCACUGCCCGGUAGCUAAAUGCGGAAGAGAUAAGUGCUGAAAGCAUCUAAGCACGAAACUUGCCCCGAGAUGAGUUCUCCCUGAGACUUUAAGUCUCCUGAAGGAACGUUGAAGACGACGACGUUGAUAGGCCGGGUGUGUAAGCGCAGCGAUGCGUUGAGCUAACCGGUACUAAUGAACCGUGAGGCUUAACCUU
Molecule: ribosomal RNA, 2902 nt
Filed under: Klebsiella variicola
Lineage: Bacteria; Pseudomonadati; Pseudomonadota; Gammaproteobacteria; Enterobacterales; Enterobacteriaceae
Description: bacterial LSU rRNA
Rfam family: Bacterial large subunit ribosomal RNA
Source: RNAcentral